This is a long non-coding RNA of Macadamia integrifolia, 246 nucleotides long. RefSeq lists it as uncharacterized. The transcript is spliced from 3 exons. NCBI's taxonomy places the organism in Eukaryota, Viridiplantae, Streptophyta, Magnoliopsida, Proteales, Proteaceae. The record is from RefSeq and is a predicted model, not a curated record.
CCAAUAAGUUAAAACCACAUCUCUUCUGAUGUUUCGAGACAUAUAGGAACGGAAGCAAUGUUUGCAGACUUGGGUCACUUCAGUGUCCCAGCCACUCAAAUUAGUUUCACUGGAGUUGUGUGUCCUGCAUAACUAUUGGCUUACAGUGGGCAAGCUUCAUACCUCACUGAAUACCCUGAAAAUGUCACAACUUCUUUCUAUUCCAGUAUUCCUACUCCAUUAUUCUGGCCACAAUUUUCCUAUCAG